UGGAGAAUAGCUACAACGUUAAAAGAAGAUAUGCAAUUAACCGAACCAACUAAUAGUGAAUCCAAUUGCUAAAAUCUUCCAAUUUGUUGCAUAAGAAGGAUUCAUUUGUUACAUUGCUAAAAUCUUCCAAUUUGUUGCAUAACCAGCAACUGAAAGGGAACAAACAUGAAACUCUCACAAUAACGAUAACUCAAAAAAUCUAAGUCAGGCAGUUGUCUUUCAGGCCUUCUUUUUCCUACCCAAUGUAGGUCUCUUGCCAAUCCUUGAAGUAGUCGUGCUGGAUUGCGGCAGCAGCCCCCGCAACAUGGCCAAAACACCUAAUCCCAAAAAAGGGGAGUACACAUAUAACAGCUUAUCAGAAGCCUUGCCGGACUGAACAAGCUCUGAUAGUAUUGUAACCUGAAAUUUUGACAAAACCAAAAUCUGUUAAGAAAGAAAAAAGUUGAAGAAGGGUGGUUGACAAUCCAAUAUGGAAUAGUUCAACAUGACAGACCAUGUAUGUGCUGCCGAAUCCAGAAAAAACUCCACCUCCAAUAACCCAAUUAGAAUUCUCACCACCAUUACGUAAUAAUUAUGCGAGUGCUUACGGGUAAUGAUUAACAGUUUAACACUAACCAUGUGACCUUAAGACAUUGCUUCGCCUACAAUGGUGUUUCGUUACCAAUCCAAUUCAUGCUUAAAAUGAGGAAGCCAAAUCCAUCAGCAGAGCAAACAGUUAUUGUUCCGAUAUGUUAGAAUUUGAUCGAUGCUAAUAGUUUUCGGAACUCUCUUAUCUGGCUAAUAGUUUUCGAGACUUGGGAGCAGCCUCUCCAUAAAUGGGGGUAAGGCUAGCCGACAUUCACCUCUCCCAGACCCUGCGUAAAGCGGGAGCUGGGUACGACCUUUUUAAGUUAUAUAACAUCAUUCAAACAAGUUUCGCUUCAUUUUCUAUCUUGUACAUUUUAACAUCUUUGACUUCUUAAACCACCCUCGGAUUGGAUACUACAAUUAAUCCAUGUUAAAUCCUAUAAAAGUUACAAACUUGGAAGAUAAUUAACAAGAAAAUAUAUAAUUAACCAAUUAAAAACUAUAAAAAAAAAAAUAAGAGAACCAGCAAAACCCAAGAUCUAAAACCAAACAAAUCACCAAUUUGCUAUAAUUUAUAAUGUUAUUAAAAGAAAAGAAAGAAGAAAACGUUACCAUGGAGGUAAAUACCGAAGCGCCAUAGAUCAAACAGGUGGUGUUCAACCAAGACUUGGCGGCCAGAAUUCCGUACAAGUUGGCAACCGCCAGAGGCCAUUGGAAGAGCAGCUCAACCCAAACGAUCCCAACAAAGAAAUGAGGCUUCUGGCUCACCAGAUAAUCUCCAUAGGUGCGCGCGUACCAGCUCUUGAGCUCCACCAGCACCUCCGGGAAGAAACUCUGCGGCAGACAUGUCUGCCCGUCGAUAAACGGCGCAGCCACCGCAAUCACGACGAAGAAUACGAAGAGCGUGGCGUCUACCAGUUUCAACAGAGCACCCAUUUGGAAUUUUCGGGGUGGAUAUCUUUGCUUUCCUUCAAUGGAUCUCUCUGGUUUGCUCCGUGAAACUUUGGUUUUGUUUGUGCGGUCAAAUUUCCUGAUCUGAACGACGUGUCGUUUCCUAAUAUGUUUGGAACAUAUUCAGACGCCAAGUCGUUUUAUUGUUUUUAUCCUUACCAACUAGGCAACAGGACCAUAUUCCUAUUCUUUGCAUCCCCAACUUGGAUGUAGAUUUUCAGUUAUAACUUGGCUUGCAAGAAAAGUAAUAGAUUGACGGAUUGAUUUUGUCUUUCGAUACAAUUAUACUAAGGGAGGGUGAUUUCGAACUCAGAAAAGCAAACACCCACAACAAAUUUCCUUAUUUUAAUGAAAAAUUAAAAGUUACUGUAAAUAAAAAGUUUGUUUUCUUGGCUAUUUCAAAAGAAAGCACCCAAAGUUAUGCAGGAAUAGAAUUUCUUUUUAUACCUAGGAAUAAAUUACAUUCCAGAAAGCACCCAAAGUUAUGCAGGAAUAUGAUUUUUUCCUUUUUCGAGUCGAUAUUUUACACUAAGCAGAGAGUGAGUUCGGCUAAAUCACACAAUGGAUAGCCUAAUUUGGUAUUGAAUUCGUCAUCCACAAGAUUCGAACCUAAGACAUCUCACUUUCAAGUGAAGAGAAAUACCACCAGAAGUACUGAGUGGCAGGAAUAGGAUUUCUUUUUAUACCUAGGAAUAAAUUACAUCCCAAAUUAGCUGGGGAAAUUUUUUAAACUACAAAUUACGAGAAAAAAAUAAAGGGUUCGUUUUUUCUCACCCCCUAACUCUUAGGUUUACCACCCUCACUCUUAGGUUACCCCCCUAAAUCAAGAUAACAAUUACUUUCUUCCAUAUUUGUGCCACGUGUAUAAAAAACUAACCAUGAUUAGUCUAUAUUCUUAUCUUUUUUACGGAAAAGAAAAAAUUAAAUUAAUGAAGAAAAAAAAAAUACCAUCUGUUCUCUCUAUAAUAUCUCAUCAUAAAUAGUUGAUCGACACUAAUACCCCCUUUCACCUCCCACUUCUUCGGGCGUAGAAGUAGCAACAACUCCUGAAAGAAAAGCCUUUAAUUAAUUAUCAUACACCAUGCCACUGCACCUUAAUAAAUUGAGUCAAGUUGCCUCCAAGAAAGGGUGUAUAUGAAUUCUUUUAAGUGAAUGAGGUUCCCCAUAUUACUCAUACGAUCCCGAAGUUGCCUACAAGAAAGACUGUAUAUCAACCAAACUAACAUUUCUCUGGUUAAUUCUUCUUUCGAUUUUCCUGCACUACAGUUUUUUCUUUUCAUUUUGAUAUGUCGUAGCCGAAUUGGUAGGACGGGAAAGGGAGUAUUAAUGCCAAUCAAUUGUUUGAUGAGGAUUAGAGAGAAUAAAUGGUGGUAAGGUUUAAUUGUUUUUCUUUUACAUAAUAAAUAAUUAAAUAGUAUAGACUAACUAUAGUUACAUUUUUUAACAUAUGACGUAAUUCUGGACCGAAAGUAACGAUUACCUUGAGUUUGGGAGUGAGCAAAUUAAAACGAACUCAAAAUUUAAAAUGAAAAAAAGAAUAAAACUAAAAGAAAUAUAAAGCAAUUAGGAAUCCUUAUUUAAUAAGAACUCCCUUUUGGAUUUUCAUAAUACAAUAAGGAAAAAGAGAGGGAUUAUAAAACCACCCGCUUCUCAACCUUGUUUAUGUCCGCGAAUUAGAAGUUGAAACUUCCUGUCAAAUCCCACAGCAGAACUGGUGAUGCCGAUACGCGACGUCAAGACCCUCAAUCCUAUGAAAUCCCACUCCGCCACGAAGCUCUCUGCCGAUGCGAAAGCAUUCUUUCCAGGGAAAACAAGCAGCCGUGAUAAACAAAACCCUAAUCAUUCACCUCUUUUUCCUCCACCCUUGCCCUACCACCAACAACACUAUAUUCCUCCUCCUAUGUUUUAUCACCGUACAUCAUGUCCUACACCGGUCAAUCCGCAACUGCAGUGUGUUCAGUUUCCUCCGUUUUACUAUGUUCCUCCUAGUUCCGUGAUCAUGAUUGACCAAGGCCUUACGGUUAAUCCAUGGGCUCCAUUACCGCCACAAGAUUUACUGGUUUUGAGAAGUAACAUCGUUAGACAAAUAGAGUAUUAUUUCAGUGAUAAAAAUCUAAAGAAGGAUCGUUACCUAAUUUCGAUUAUGGAUGACCAAGGAUGGGUUUCGAUAUCCACCAUCGCUGAAUUUAAUAGACUCAAGAAUAUGUGCACCGACAUACCGUUUAUCCUUGAUUCGUUGUUGUUGGGCUCGACCAGUGUGGAAGUGCAGGGUUACAAGAUACGGCUACGGGACAAGUGGUUGAAGUGGAUUCCGGCUCAUGCAGACUCUACCGUAACAUCAAAACAGCAUAUUCAGCCGGAGCAACUUAGGUCUGCCAAUAAUCGUGAUCAAAUUGUUGACGCUUCAUCUGAUGGAAAAGAUUCAACGGAUCUCUUGCUAUCUAGCACUGGACAUGGCACUGCAGAUGGUGUUCUUGAUGGUGGAUCUCUUGUGUUUACUGCUGAUAAUUGAGUUGGCUCAUAGAUUGGCAAUGGGGUUGCUCAUAGAAUAUUGGUUCGGUUUUCUCUGUCUAUGUCUCAUGAUUUGGUUUGCUUGGAAGAACCUGCUGACGCAAUUUUCAAUAUUUUGUUAGGACGAUAGAUGAUAAUGUUUCAUAUUUUAGUGUGUGGUACAUAUAAUUUCCUUCGAUUGGGUGAAAUUCCUGACAAGGUUUUUUUUGAGGCCCACACUUCUAUCCUCUUGUAAGGUUUCUUUACAAUGUUUACAUGAAUGAAUAAUUGAAUAUCGUACUCUUUUAGAUAAAAGUAUUCUUCUGUUGAUUUUCAGAUUGUGGCCUUUUCGAAAGAAAAUCUUACGUGACAAUUGGUAUACUGAGGAUCAAUUCAAUCUGGAUGUGAUUAGGAACUUAGCAUGAGAUGAGAGAUACAUUAAUCGACAUCCUUGGAAAAUAAAUACUGUAGUAACUUAUGUUUAUCUUUCCUUUUCUUCAAAUUCUGAUAUGUUACCAAGAGUUUAUUGAUAAAUCCAAUUAGCAACAACUUUCAAUCAUUCAUAACAAGAGUUUAUUGAUAAAUUGAGAACAUGGACACAUAAUUGACAUAUAUGAACUAUCAAAAUAAUGAUAAAUUGCAAAAUGUGUCUGCAAGUUCAGUUGUACGUCAAGCCUUCUUUUUCCUACCCAAUGUAGGUCUCUUGCCA
Molecule: long non-coding RNA, 4717 nt
Filed under: Malus domestica (apple)
Lineage: Eukaryota; Viridiplantae; Streptophyta; Magnoliopsida; Rosales; Rosaceae
Description: long non-coding RNA (MDOM_LNC017271)
Source: RNAcentral